RNAcentral lists this ribosomal RNA (466 nucleotides) under uncultured bacterium. RNAcentral describes it as "partial 16S ribosomal RNA". It matches the Rfam family "Bacterial small subunit ribosomal RNA", at positions 338 to 795 of the family's 1533-position model. The record is from RNAcentral.
CCUACGGGUGGCAGCAGUGGGGAAUAUUGCGCAAUGGGCGAAAGCCUGACGCAGCGACGCCGCGUGAGGGAUGAAGGUCUUCGGAUCGUAAACCUCUGUCAGGGGGGAAGAAGUGUUUAUAUUCGACUAGUGUAUGCCUUUGACGGUCCCUCCAAAGGAAGCACCGGCUAACUCCGUGCCAGCAGCCGCGUUAAUCCGGAGGGUGCGAGCGUUAAUCGGAUUUACUGGGCGUAAGGCGCUCGUAGGCGGUAUGUCAAGUCAAGGGUGAAAUCCCCGCGCUCAACGUGGGAACUGACUUUGAAACUGGCAAAUUGGAGUGUGUGAGAGGAGAGUGGAAUUCCAGGUGUAGGAGUGAAAUCCGUAGAUAUCUGGAGGAACAUCAGUGGCGAAGGCGACUAUCUGGCACAUAACUGACGCUGAGGAGCGAAAGCGUGGGUAGCAAACAGGAUUAGAGACCCCGGUAGUC